CAGUAGCCGCGGUAAUACAGUGGGUGCGAGCGUUAAUCGGAUUUACUGGGCGUAAAGCGUGCGUAGGCGGCUUUUUAAGUCGGAUGUGAAAUCCCUGAGCUUAACUUAGGAAUUGCAUUCGAUACUGGGAAGCUAGAGUAUGGGAGAGGAUGGUAGAAUUCCAGGUGUAGCGGUGAAAUGCGUAGAGAUCUGGAGGAAUACCGAUGGCGAAGGCAGCCAUCUGGCCUAAUACUGACGCUGAGGUACGAAAGCAUGGGGAGCAAACAGGAUUAGAUACCCCGGUAGUCCCUGUCUCUUAUAC
This 301-nucleotide ribosomal RNA is filed under the name uncultured bacterium. RNAcentral describes it as "partial 16S ribosomal RNA". It matches the Rfam family "Bacterial small subunit ribosomal RNA", at positions 509 to 807 of the family's 1533-position model. The record is from RNAcentral.